GACGCAUUUAACCCCAAACGUCAUCAUUUGUGGCGACUUUCGCCUCAUUUCUAAAUGAUGAACCUCAUCCGUGAAGACGCUUGAGUUAUUUGUGCGGAGCGUCGUCCUAAAUGACGGAAUCAAGGCCGUUUGUGCAGAAUGACGACAUUCGGAAGGAGCAACGCCAAUGUAACGGCGUCAUCUGGUGGCUCAUACGAGAUGGCGCCCGGCGGCACGAAGAUGAAGAAGUCGAGCAUUAGUGCGCCGAGUGCAAUAAGAAUUGUUCAUAUCUCUGGUGACUUUGCGGCAGGUCGUGCAGUGUGAAGUGUAACAAUGUGUGAUGUGUAGUUGUGCGACUUCUUGGUGCGUCUCACACAUUUCCUGCAGAGCUCGUGUGUGUCUUCUUUCUGCUGUUACAGUCACACUGAUAUCAAAGAGGAAGGAGAUGCAUCAGCUCCAAACUGCUCAUGUUUCUUUACUGACGUGUUUCUUUAAAUAUUUCUCACUGCAUGUAUCUAAAAAACCUUCUUUGAUCAAAUGGUACAUUUUCUAGAUUGUUUCUCGAUGAGCGUCGCCUCAUUUGUGUCACUGAAAUCUAUUUUAAAGAUGAGAGCAGAGGGAUUGCAUUACUCCUCUAUAUCUUAACUUAUCAUAUUGCAUAUUGUUGAUUCCUCAUUGAAUUAGUGUUUGAAAUAUUAAAUCUGGCACCUCGGUCGAACGAAUGUUUGAAUUUGAUUUGAACUGUGCUCAAUGACUAAAUGAAGGCAUGAAUCUCAGUGUUGUUGAAUGACAACCAGAAUGCCUGAUGUUGUGUUAAUGGUCUCGACCAUGGAAACACUGGUCAGCCGGGGUCUCGGUUACCAUGGAAACACUGUCAGUUGUAUGUCAGUGGGUUGCUGUCAUUGUCAAAACACGUACAUUUGAAAAUUAAAAAAUCAUAUUCAAGGUACAUAAUAAAGAAAUAACCAACCACUGGAAAUACGUUGAUGAAUCUGUGAAAUAAAUUGUUAAGUUGUAUCAAAUAAAAUUAAAGACAUUAAUUCUCCAGCUACAUGCUAAAGCUACAUGCUAAGGCUACAUGAUAAAUCUCCUAGCUCUCGAUUGGUGGAUCUCUAGCCGAUUUCCAAAAUAAAUGAGCAUAGAAUAAAAACAUGA
Gasterosteus aculeatus aculeatus (three-spined stickleback) is the source of this 1134-nucleotide non-coding RNA. The record is from RefSeq and is a predicted model, not a curated record. NCBI's taxonomy places the organism in Eukaryota, Metazoa, Chordata, Actinopteri, Perciformes, Gasterosteidae.